CCUACGGGAGGCAGCAGUGGGGAAUCUUGCACAAUGGAGGGAACUCUGAUGCAGCGACGUCGCGUGAACGAUGAAGGCUUUCGAGUCGUAAAGUUCUGUCCUAUGGGACGAUAAUGACGGUACCAUAGGAGGAAGCCCCGGCUAACUACGUGCCAGCAGCCGCGGUAAUACGUAGGGGGCAAACGUUGUCCGGAAUUACUGGGCGUAAAGGGUACGCAGGCGGCCAUGUAAGUCAGAUGUGAAAGGCCAAGGCUUAACCUUGGUUAGCAUUUGAAACUGUGUGGCUUGAGUUAAGGAGAGGAAAGUGGAAUUCCUAGUGUAGCGGUGAAAUGCGUAGAUAUUAGGAGGAAUACCAGUGGCGAAGGCGACUUUCUGGACUUAUACUGACGCUGAGGUACGAAAGCGUGGGGAGCAAACAGGCUUAGAUACCCCUGUAGUC
RNAcentral lists this ribosomal RNA (439 nucleotides) under uncultured Clostridium sp. RNAcentral describes it as "bacterial SSU rRNA". It matches the Rfam family "Bacterial small subunit ribosomal RNA", at positions 338 to 795 of the family's 1533-position model. The record is from RNAcentral. Lineage: Bacteria; Bacillati; Bacillota; Clostridia; Eubacteriales; Clostridiaceae.